This 301-nucleotide ribosomal RNA is filed under the name uncultured bacterium. Its description in RNAcentral is "partial 16S ribosomal RNA". It matches the Rfam family "Bacterial small subunit ribosomal RNA", at positions 509 to 807 of the family's 1533-position model. The record is from RNAcentral.
CAGCAGCCGCGGUAAUACAGAGGGUGCGAGCGUUAAUUGGAUUUACUGGGCGUAAAGCGUGCGUAGGCGGCUUCUUAAGUCGGAUGUGAAAUCCCUGAGCUUAACUUAGGAAUUGCAUUCGAUACUGGGAAGCUAGAGUAUGGGAGAGGAUGGUAGAAUUCCAGGUGUAGCGGUGAAAUGCGUAGAGAUCUGGAGGAAUACCGAUGGCGAAGGCAGCCAUCUGGCCUAAUACUGACGCUGAGGUACGAAAGCAUGGGGAGCAAACAGGAUUAGAUACCCCGGUAGUCCCUGUCUCUUAUAC